GCUGGGUGCAGUGGUGCCCCCCUGUAAUCCUAGCAGCUCGGGAGGCUGAGGCAGGAGGAUCACAAGUUCAAAGCCAGCCUUAGCAAUUUAGCAAGCCCUAAUCAACUUCGUGAGACUCUGUCUCGA
RNAcentral lists this small RNA (126 nucleotides) under Marmota monax (woodchuck). Lineage: Eukaryota; Metazoa; Chordata; Mammalia; Rodentia; Sciuridae. The record is from RNAcentral.